This 391-nucleotide ribosomal RNA is filed under the name Cercozoa sp. RNAcentral describes it as "SSU rRNA". It matches the Rfam family "Eukaryotic small subunit ribosomal RNA", at positions 587 to 975 of the family's 1831-position model. The record is from RNAcentral. RNAcentral also lists the same sequence under 1 other name. Lineage: Eukaryota; Cercozoa.
AGCUCCAAUAGCGUAUAUUAAAGUUGUUGCAGUUAAAAAGCUCGUAGUUGGAUUUAUUGGCGCGCUUUUGGCGGUCUGCUUCGAAUGAAGUUCGACUAACCGAGCAGCCAUUUCGUCUAUUGAUGUCGUCUGGUCUUCAUUGAUUCGGGCGUCUUAGAUAGGCCGUUUACUGUGAGAAAAUUAGAGUGUUCAAGGCAAGCGUUUUUGCGAUUGAAUAUUACAGCAUGGAAUAAUAAGAUACGACUUUCAGUCUAUUUUGUUGGUUUCUAGAGUGGAAGUAAUGAUUGAUAGGGAUAGUUGGGGGUGCUAGUAUUCAUCGGCCAGAGGUGAAAUUCAUGGAUUCGUUGAAGACUAACUUAUGCGAAAGCAUUCACCAAGGAUGUCCCCUUUA